RNAcentral lists this ribosomal RNA (497 nucleotides) under uncultured bacterium. Its description in RNAcentral is "partial 16S ribosomal RNA". It matches the Rfam family "Bacterial small subunit ribosomal RNA", at positions 28 to 507 of the family's 1533-position model. The record is from RNAcentral.
GAUGAACGCUGGCGGCGUGCCUAAUACAUGCAAGUCGAGCGAACAGACGAGGAGCUUGCUCCUCUGACGUUAGCGGCGGACGGGUGAGUAACACGUGGAUAACCUACCUAUAAGACUGGGAUAACUUCGGGAAACCGGAGCUAAUACCGGAUAAUAUAUUGAACCGCAUGGUUCAAUAGUGAAAGACGGUUUUGCUGUCACUUAUAGAUGGAUCCGCGCCGCAUUAGCUAGUUGGUAAGGUAACGGCUUACCAAGGCGACGAUGCGUAGCCGACCUGAGAGGGUGAUCGGCCCCACUGGAACUGAGACACGGUCCAGACUCCUACGGGAGGCAGCAGUAGGGAAUCUUCCGCAAUGGGCGAAAGCCGGACGGAGCAACGCCGCGUGAUUGAUGAAGGUCUUCGGAUCUUAAACCUCUGUUAUUAGGGAAGACCAAAUGUGUAAGUAACUAUGCACGUCUUGACGGUACCUAAUCAGAAAGCCACGGCUAACUACGUG